UACAGAGGGGGCAAGCGUUGUUCGGAAUCAUUGGGCGUAAAAGGGCGCGUAGGUGGCCCGGUCAGUUCGUGGUGAAAGCGCGGGGCUCAACCCUGCGUCGGCCAUGAAUAACUGCCGCGGCUGGAGCACUGUAGAGGCAGGCGGAAUUCCGGGGUGUAGGCGGUGGAAUGCGUAGAGAUCCGGAAGAAUCACCGGUGGCGAAGGCGGCCUGCUGGGCAGUUGCUGACACUGAGGCGCGACAGCGGUGGGGAGCAAACAGG
This 260-nucleotide ribosomal RNA is filed under the name uncultured bacterium. RNAcentral describes it as "partial 16S ribosomal RNA". It matches the Rfam family "Bacterial small subunit ribosomal RNA", at positions 524 to 776 of the family's 1533-position model. The record is from RNAcentral.